RNAcentral lists this ribosomal RNA (621 nucleotides) under uncultured bacterium. Its description in RNAcentral is "bacterial SSU rRNA". It matches the Rfam family "Bacterial small subunit ribosomal RNA", at positions 338 to 951 of the family's 1533-position model. The record is from RNAcentral.
CCUACGGGAGGCAGCAGUGGGGAAUUUUGGACAAUGGGCGAAAGCCUGAUCCAGCCAUUCCGCGUGAGUGAAGAAGGCCUUCGGGUUGUAAAGCUCUUUCGCAAGGGAAGAAAACUUAGUCUCUAACAUAGACUGAGGUUGACGGUACCUUGAUAAGAAGCACCGGCUAACUACGUGCCAGCAGCCGCGGUAAUACGUAGGGUGCGAGCGUUAAUCGGAAUUACUGGGCGUAAAGCGUGCGCAGGCGGUUUUGUAAGUCAGAUGUGAAAUCCCCGAGCUCAACUUGGGAACUGCGUUUGAAACUACAAGACUAGAAUAUGUCAGAGGGGGGUAGAAUUCCACGUGUAGCAGUGAAAUGCGUAGAGAUGUGGAGGAAUACCAAUGGCGAAGGCAGCCCCCUGGGAUAAUAUUGACGCUCAUGCACGAAAGCGUGGGGAGCAAACAGGAUUAGAUACCCUGGUAGUCCACGCCCUAAACGAUGUCUACUAGUUGUUGGUGGAGUAAAAUCCAUGAGUAACGCAGCUAACGCGUGAAGUAGACCGCCUGGGGAGUACGGUCGCAAGAUUAAAACUCAAAUGAAUUGACGGCUGAGACGNGCGAGGACGACGACGAGGGAGGAGG